Molecule: ribosomal RNA, 568 nt
Filed under: Sordariomycetes sp. genotype 32
Lineage: Eukaryota; Fungi; Ascomycota; Sordariomycetes
Description: eukaryotic LSU rRNA
Rfam family: Eukaryotic large subunit ribosomal RNA
Source: RNAcentral
GAUCAGGUAGGAAUACCCGCUGAACUUAAGCAUAUCAAUAAGCGGAGGAAAAGAAACCAACAGGGAUUGCCCUAGUAACGGCGAGUGAAGCGGCAACAGCUCAAAUUUGAAAUCUGGCUUCGGCCCGAGUUGUAAUUUGUAGAGGAUGCUUUUGGUGAGGUGCCUUCUGAGUUCCCUGGAACGGGACGCCAGAGAGGGUGAGAGCCCCGUAUAGUCGGCCACCGAUCCUUUGUAAAGCUCCUUCGACGAGUCGAGUAGUUUGGGAAUGCUGCUCAAAAUGGGAGGUAUAUCUCUUCUAAAGCUAAAUAUAGGCCAGAGACCGAUAGCGCACAAGUAGAGUGAUCGAAAGAUGAAAAGCACUUUGAAAAGAGGGUUAAAUAGCACGUGAAAUUGUUGAAAGGGAAGCGCUUGUGACCAGACUUGUGCCGGGCUGAUCAUCCAGUGUUCUCACUGGUGCACUCGACCCGGCUCAGGCCAGCGUCGGUUUUCGUGGGGGGAUAAAAGCUUCGGGAACGUGGCACCUUCGGGUGUGUUAUAGCCCGUUGCUUAAUACCUCCGUGGAGACCGA